GGGUCAGUAGGUUGGUCGUGCCACCGGUACGUACUGGUCUCACUGAUUCCUCCUUCCUGAAGAACCGUAAUGCCAUUAAUUAGGUGUUGCGGGGAAACAGGACUGUUACUUUGAAAAAAUUAGAGUGUUUAAAGCAAGCUAACGCUUGAAUACAUUAGCAGGGAAUAAUGAAAUAGGACGAUCGAUCCUAUUUUGUUGGUUUCUAGGAUUGACGUA
Molecule: ribosomal RNA, 216 nt
Filed under: Glomeromycotina sp.
Lineage: Eukaryota; Fungi; Glomeromycota
Description: partial small subunit ribosomal RNA
Rfam family: Eukaryotic small subunit ribosomal RNA (bases 40-216)
Source: RNAcentral